Epinephelus lanceolatus (giant grouper) is the source of this 1148-nucleotide non-coding RNA. NCBI's taxonomy places the organism in Eukaryota, Metazoa, Chordata, Actinopteri, Perciformes, Serranidae. The record is from RefSeq and is a predicted model, not a curated record.
CUCAAGCCGGUCGCGGCGCACCAUAUGCCCGCCGCAAGCCAUUCAGCACCGCGGACAGUCGGACUAAUGGGAUGUCGAACCAAUGGGCUGUCGAACCAAUGACAUGGACCCCUGCCAAAGUAAGCUGCAUUGUAUUGAUCUAGUGUUGGUUGCUGUGUGUAACCUUAGCUGAUAAAAGUCAUUGCAAAUGGUAGGGUUUCAUAUAAAACAAUUAUUGGUAAAAAAGUUACAUAGGCCUACAGAACCUUUAACAUAUUUAUACCCAGGUAUCGAAAACAAAGUGUCCCUUAUAUCUCAGAUGGUACGGCAGAUGUGGACUGCAACCUUCCAAUUGUCAACAGCCUGUCAUUUCAGCCAUCAGCUUUAUCUUAAAAAACAAAAACAAACAAAAAAAACUCAGGGCUGAUAAAUAUUAAAUACUUGAAGUGCAUUUAUUAUUAACGCAAGUCUAGAGAAAAUCCUGUUUCUGUCACAUCCUAAAACAUAUAAUAGGCAUCAAUAUAUGUAGUUACAAUGAAGUAAUGUUAAAAUAGUUGAAUCCAGUUGCCAUGAUGAGAUUAUUUGUGAAAGGGUGAAAGUAAUUUUAUUUCAUUUUUUUGUGUGUGUUAUGUUGCACCUCAUCAUUUCACUAUAGAAGGCUAAAUGAAAUGUUUUAGCCCAACAUCUGAAUGGUAUGUUGAAUGUAGGGGAUGUAUGUGGAGCACGUUCGCUCUUUAUGAAUUUUACCUUUUAAAAUUAUGAGUUAUUAGGCAGAAUUUCCAAUCUUUUUCCUAGAUGUUUAGAUUUCUAAAUAAAUAAAAUACCCCAGCAAGAUACUACAGUAUUUCAAAGCCAAUGUAUUACUAAUUGUACAGCCUUAGCUAGUGGUGAGUAAAAAUCGACUGAUUUCUAGCCUGUAACUAAUAAACACUUUUUCUUGCUUUUGCCUGGCUUCUACCUCUAUUUUGUUAUAAGACGAGCUCUUUUCUUUAUUACUGCCAUUGUGAUGAUUUCCCACUUUGAUAAAGCCUUGCUUGAUUCAGUUACUAGUUUAAUCCACCACUGCGUUGAUAAAAGUGUCACAUGAAUGAGACUGAAGUUUCUGUUGCAGUCCAGGAAGAUACUGCAUGGUCAUGAAAUGCUGUGCAUCAUUAAAAGGAAGAACUGGA